Molecule: ribosomal RNA, 492 nt
Filed under: uncultured bacterium
Lineage: Bacteria
Description: partial 16S ribosomal RNA
Rfam family: Bacterial small subunit ribosomal RNA
Source: RNAcentral
AGUGAACGCUGGCGGUAGGCCUAACACAUGCAAGUCGAGCGGCAGCACAGUAGGAGCUUGCUCUUACGGGUGGCGAGUGGCGGACGGGUGAGGAAUACAUCGGAAUCUAGCUUUUCGUGGAGGAUAAUGUAGGGAAACUUACGCUAAUACCGCAUACGACCUACGGGUGAAAGCAGGGGACCUUCGGACCUUGCGCGAGUUCAUGAGCCGCUGUCGGAUUAGCUAGUUGGCGGGGUAAAGGCCCACCAAGGCGACGAUCGGUAGCUGGUCUGAGAGGAUGAUCAGCCACACUGGAACUGAGACACGGUCCAGACUACUACGGGAGGCGGCAGUGGGGAAUAUUGGACAAUGGGCGAAAGCCUGAUCCAGCCAUACCGCGUGGGUGAAGAAGGCCUUCGGGUUGUAAAGCCCUUUUGUUAGGAAAGAAAAGCAGAAGGUUAAUAGCGCGCUGUUCUGCCGGUACCCAAAGAAUAAGCACCGGCUAACUUCGUG